RNAcentral lists this ribosomal RNA (510 nucleotides) under uncultured bacterium. RNAcentral's name for it is "partial 16S ribosomal RNA". It matches the Rfam family "Bacterial small subunit ribosomal RNA", at positions 28 to 507 of the family's 1533-position model. The record is from RNAcentral.
GACGAACGCUGGCGGCGUGCUUAACACAUGCAAGUCGAACGAAGAGCGAUGGAAGCUUGCUUCUAUCAAUCUUAGUGGCGUACGGGUGAGUAACGCGUACUCAACCUGCCCUUCAGAGGGGGACAACAGUUGGAAACGACUGCUAAUACCGCAUACGAUCUAAUCUCGGCAUCGAGGAUAGAUUAAAGGUGGCCUCUACAUGUAAGCUAUCACUGAAGUAGGGGAUUGCGUCUGAUUAGCUAGUUGGAGGGGUAACGGCCCACCAAGGCGAUGAUCAGUAGCCGGUCUGAGCGGAGGAACGGCCACAUGGGGACUGAGACACGGCCCAGACUCCUACGGGAGGCAGCAGUGGGGAAUCUUCCGCAAUGGACGAAAGUCUGACGGAGCAACGCCGCGUGAGUGAUGACGGCCUUCGGGUUGUAAAGCUCUGUUAAUCGGGACGAAAGGCCUUCUUGCGAAUAGUGAGAAGGAUUGACGGUACCGGAAUAGAAAGCCACGGCUAACUACGUG